CUACGGCAGACUGUAGCAGCGGCGAGCGAGCGGGAAGAGCUCAAAUUUAUAAUCUGGCACCUUCGGUGUCCGAGUUGUAAUCUCUAGAAGUGUUUUCCGCGUUGGACCGCACACAAGUCUGUUGGAAUACAGCGGCAUAGUGGUGAAACCCCCGUAUAUGGUGCGGACGCCCAGCGCUUUGUGAUACACUUUCAAUGAGUCGAGUUGUUUGGGAAUGCAGCUCAAAUUGGGUGGUAAAUUCCAUCUAAAGCUAAAUAUUGGCGAGAGACCGAUAGCGAACAAGUACCGUGAGGGAAAGAUGAAAAGCACUUUGGAAAGAGAGUUAACAGUACGUGAAAUUGUUGGAAGGGAAACGCUUGAAGUCAGACUUGCUUGCCGGAGCUUGCUUCGGUUUGCAGGCCAGCAUCAGUUUUCCGGGGUGGAUAAUGACGGUUUGAAGGUAGCAGUCUCGGCUGUGUUAUAGCUUUCCGUUGGAUACAUCCUGGGGGACUGAGGAACGCAGCGUGCUUUUUGCGAAAGACUCGUCUUUUUCACGCUUAGGAUGCUGGUGGAAUGGCUUUAAACGACCCGUCUUGACACACCGGACCAA
This 589-nucleotide ribosomal RNA is filed under the name Rhodotorula graminis. RNAcentral describes it as "eukaryotic LSU rRNA". It matches the Rfam family "Eukaryotic large subunit ribosomal RNA", at positions 66 to 669 of the family's 3401-position model. The record is from RNAcentral. Lineage: Eukaryota; Fungi; Basidiomycota; Microbotryomycetes; Sporidiobolales; Sporidiobolaceae.